RNA transcript from Stomoxys calcitrans (stable fly), 5223 nucleotides. It is a transcript of the gene named neuroglian, with no coding region annotated. The transcript has 10 exons. The record is from RefSeq and is a predicted model, not a curated record. NCBI's taxonomy places the organism in Eukaryota, Metazoa, Arthropoda, Insecta, Diptera, Muscidae.
UAGUCACCCGUCGAAUCGAAAGGUUGAAAGAAAGUUUAGAUCUUUUAAAUUUUUUUGCCUUUUUACCCGCCCGCCCCGUCGAAAGGAAUACAAAGAAAUUUUCUACGUAAAAUUUUGCCUAUUUAAUUUUUAAGUGAUACAAAAUCUAAAACGAAAUACAUAUUCAAAAUAAAAUUCAAAACGUACAAACGUGCAAAAUAAGGAAUACAAAACAACAGCGACAUUGGUAGAAAUCCCCCUCAACCCCACAUUCCCAGUUGAGGCCCUAAAGAGGUGGGAUUUUGUGUAUGUCUGAUUGUGUGUAAGCGAGGGCGAGACAGAGAGAGAGAGUGUGUGAAUAUCUUAAUCAGACCCGGCCGUAAGUGCAAGGGCAUCGUGUAUUGCGGAAGAGUUCCAUUUUCCCUCCAUCAACAGCAGAGCAACUGCCAUCAAAAUGGGACGGCAGUCGUCUAGUACGCUGACCGUCGUCCUUUUGGUUGCUGCUUUAGGCAUUACAACAGCAUCGGUCAAUUCACCUCCCCGCAUUAUCAAACAACCCCCCACAGAUGAACUUCUAUUCAAAGUAGCUCAAGCAACUAAGGAAAGUGAUAAACCAUUCAUCAUCGAAUGUGAAGCUGAAGGAACACCAGAUCCAACAUACCGAUGGAUUAAGAAUGGCAAGAAAUUCGAUUGGCAAGCCUAUGAUAAUCGCAUGUUGCAACAACCCGGUCGUGGUACACUCGUCAUUACCUCGCCGAAAGACGAAGAUUUGGGCCAAUAUCAAUGUUUUGCUGAGAAUGAAUUUGGUAUUGCCACCUCGAACUCGGUCUUUGUGCGCAAGGCCGAGUUAAAUGCGUUCAAGGAGGAUGAGAAGAAGAUUGUCGAAGCCAAUGAGGGUGAACCCUUCUCGUUGCAGUGUCAGGCGCCCGAUGGCUGGCCCAAGCCCACCGUCAAUUGGUUGAUCCAAAACACAUUUGAUGCCGGCAUCAAGACCAUCAACAACUCACGCAUGACCCUGGAUCCCGAGGGUACCCUGUGGUUCUCCAAUGUUACCCGUGAUGAUGCCUCGUUAGAUACCUUUUACACUUGCUCAGCUACCUCAGUGUUCCGUAAUGAGUACAAGAUUGGUAAUCGUGUCCUUUUGGAUGUCAAGCAGACAGGCAUUAGCCCUUCGCAAAAUAAAUUCCCUCCCCGCCAACAAUAUGUGACUCGUAAGAAUGAAGUGGCGUUACGUGGCAAAUACGUGGAGCUGUACUGUAUCUAUGGUGGUACGCCGCUGCCCGAAACGAUUUGGAAAAAGAAUGGAGCUCCCAUUAACUGGGGCGAUCGCAUAUCUCAGGGCCACUAUGGCAAGUCUUUGGUCAUACGCUAUGCCACCUUCGAGGAUGCUGGCACCUACACCUGUGAUGUGUUCAAUGGUGUAGGCAAGGGCCAGUCUUAUUCCAUUAAUUUAGAAAUUCAAGCCGUCCCCUAUUUCACUGUAGAGCCAGAAAUACAAAAUGCUGCCGAAGAUGAGACUGUCGAGUUCCGUUGCGAAGCUUUGGGUACUCCUGAGCCCACUAUCCAAUGGAUCCACAAUGGUAAACCCAUAGCACAAGCAACCCCCAAUACCAGACGCAUUGUGGAAACCAAUCGCAUCAUUAUUCGCGAUUUGGUUAAGACUGACACAGGCAAUUAUGGUUGUAACGCCACCAACUCCCUGGGCUAUGUAUACAAGGAUGUCUACCUAAAUGUGUUGGCCCUGCCCCCAGAGAUUGAGGCACCUCCCCGCAAAGAAGCCACUGUGGCCGGUAAAAAUGUUACCAUGCGUUGUCGUGUCUUUGGUGCCCCCAAGCCCCAAGUAAAAUGGCUGCACAAUGGCCGCGAAUUGACAGGUGGACGCUUCACUGUCCUCCCCAGUGGUGAUCUACACAUCCAACAGGUUAUCCAUGAUGACUUUGGCCAGUACACAUGUUAUGCUAAGAAUAAAUUUGGUGAAAAAUCAGCCAAUGGUUCGCUGGAGGUGAAGGAAGCCACUCGCAUUACCCAGGGUCCCCAAAAUUACGAAGUAUCUGCGGGUCAGUCGGCCACCUUCCGUUGUAACGAGGCCCACGAUGACACUUUGAAUUUGACCAUUGAAUGGUGGAAGGAUUCGCAACAAAUCGAUUUUGAGGCCGAGGCUCGUUUUGUGAAGACCAAUGACAACUCGCUGACCAUUGCCAAGACCAUCGAACUGGAUUCUGGUGAAUAUACCUGUGUGGCCCGCACCGAACUGGAUGAGGCCUCUAGCAGUGCCAAUCUCAUUGUGCAGGAUGUGCCCAACGCCCCUCUGCUCAAGGAAGUUAAAUGUCGACCAAAUGUAGCCGAAAUCACCUGGGAACCACGCGGCGAUAAUCGUUCUCCCAUCCUCCAUUACACCAUUCAGUUCAAUACCUCAUUCACUCCGGCCUCCUGGGAUGUGGCCUACGAGAAGGUGCCCUCGACGGACACCUCAUUUGUGGUAGAUAUGUCGCCAUGGGCCAAUUAUACAUUCCGAGUGAUUGCCUUUAACAAGAUUGGACCCUCUCCCCCUUCGGGUCAUAGUGAAGUGUGUACCACCCAACCCGAUGUGCCCUAUAAGAAUCCCGAUAAUGUCCAAGGACAAGGAACUGAGCCCACCAACUUGGUGAUAACAUGGACUUCUAUGCCCGAAAUCGAUCACAAUGGUCCCAACUUCCAAUAUCGUGUUCAUUGGAAGCGUGACAUACCAGCAGCUACCUGGAAUACAAAGGACAUCUUCGAUUGGAAACAAGACAGUUUGGUGGUGGAGGACCAGCCCACGUUUGUGCGUUAUCUAGUUAAGGUGGUGGCCAUCAAUCAAAAUGGACAAGCCAAUGUUGCGGCCGAGGAAGUAGUAGGCUGGUCAGGAGAAGAUCGUCCUUUGGAAGCCCCCACCAAUUUCAGCAUGACCCAGGUUGUAGGUGCCACCUCGGCUAUUUUGAACUGGAAUCCCGUUAAUGUGGAAUCCAUUCGUGGACACUUCAAGGGCUAUAAGAUUCAGACCUGGACCGAAAAGGAAGGUGAGGAAGGUCUGCGAGAAAUUCAUGUCAAAGGUGAUUCAAAUCAGGCCUUGGUUACACAAUUCAAACCGGAUAGCAAGAACUUUGCUCGCGUCUUGGCCUAUAAUGGACGUUUCAAUGGCCCCGCCAGUGCUGUUAUUGAUUUUGAUACACCCGAAGGUGUCCCCUCGCCAGUAGAGUCAUUGAAUGCCUAUCCCAUGGGCUCCUCGGCUUUCUGGUUGGUAUGGAAGAAGCCCUUGAAUCCCAAUGGCAAACUUACCGGCUACAAGGUCUACUAUGAGGAAGUCAAGGGCAGCUAUGUGGGCGAGAGACGUGAAUAUGAUCCCCAUAUUACCGAUCCACGUGUGACCAGCAUGAAGAUGGCUGGUUUAAAACCCAAUACCAAAUAUCGCAUUGCCUUAGCGGCCACCACUAAGGCGGGAGAAGGCACCGAACAUUUCAUUGAAAAACGUACCCUAACCGAAGAAUCCAAGGAACCCGCAGUUCCCUAUUUCGAAUAUCAGCAAGAGCCCUCAGACAAUGGCUUGGCCAAAUUCCGCAUUAACUGGAUACCCAACAAGGAAGGUCAUACCGGUACACAUUUCUUCACCAAAUACAGGGUCAAGGGUGAAACCCAAUGGAAUACCACUCCCGAGGAAAAGAAUCGCGAUUACCAAGAGGUAGCCGGUUUAGAUCCUGAAUCUGUCUAUGAAUUCCGUGUAGUGGCCGUUGAUGGUCAUUUCAUGAAGGAAAGUGAAACGCGGGAGGUAGAUAUUGGAGCCGUUGAGGGUCCCAUAAAGGUGCCCAAUGAAAAUUUGGCCAAUGCCGGCUGGUUUAUCGGCAUGAUGUUGGCCUUGGCCAUCAUAAUCAUUCUGUUCAUAAUCAUUUGUAUAAUACGCCGCAAUCGUGGUGGCAAAUAUGAUGUGCACGAUCGCGAAAUGGCGAAUGGCAGACGCGACUACCCCGAUGAAGGUGGUUUCCAUGAAUACUCACAGCCAUUGGACAACAAGAGCGCUGGUCGCCAGUCUGUUAGUUCAGCAAAACCAGGCCUGGAAAGUGAUACCGAUUCCAUGGCCGAAUACGGUGAUGGUGAUACAGCGGGGGCGCGUAAACUUCAACAAACUUUACCUACUUUGUCAGAGCACAUAGAUGAGACUUCCGCCCCUCAGUCUUUUGGUAUUAAGAAGUAAUUAGAAAUUCAAUUUCAAAAUUUUGUAAUUUACCAUUGAAGUUUCAUAUCAAAAAAUCGUCCUCCCAAAAAAAACGUCUUCAAGGUCUGAACGAAGAUGGUUCUUUCAUAGGCCAAUAUGGACGUAAACUUUGAUUUAGUUUAAUUUCUAACAAGUAAACAACUUUUUUAAAAGUAACAAAACAAAAAUAGUUAUAAAAAAAACAAACCAUGUGAAAAAGUAAUCAAUCAUCUCCACCACCAACGCCGCCGCCAAGAUACUGAUGACAAAAACAAAAACCAAUUCAAUAAAUUCCAAAAUUAAAAAAAAAAAAAUCAGCUACUUCACUCCUAUUAUACCCAAACAAUAAAUCCAAGUUUAUUUUGUAUUUAGGUUUAAAAAAAAAAAACAAAAAUUUAAAAAUACUGCCAGCAGCUAUAUUAUUUGUUUAUUUGUAUGUUUUUUUUUUUAUUUCUUAUUUUAAUUAAAAUUGCAAUCUCGAAUCUUAAAACAAAACGACGAAUCAUCAUUGGAUAUAAAUAUUUUUGUCAGUAGUAAUUAUGUAUAACAAAAACUUUUCGUUUCAUUCUCUUUUUUUUUUUCUUUUUUUAUAAAAUAUAUUUGUUUUGUUAAAAAAAAUAGCAAUUAUUACAUCUAUUUUUUUAUAUAAUAAUAUUAAUUUUUUGUCCUUUUUGUAUAAGAACAUGUGUGUAUUUAAAUGUAAACAAUUUUUUCAUACGUCCCCUAGCAUCACACCCUAAUGUCCAAGCAAAUUUCCAAUGUAUCUUCUUUUUUAUCUAGCUCAUCGUUUUUAUGUGUAAUAAGUACCGAUGCUUUUCUCUCUUUCAUUGUAUUGUAACUUUUUUCUGUUUUUUUUUAUUAUUUUUUAUGUAAUUGCAUAUAUAGUUUUUUUAUAAAACAAGAAAAGCUUAACCUUAAACGUAAUUCUUUUUUUUAGUUUAAAAAAAAAAAAAAAAAACAACAGAAAAAUAUGAUUUAAAAAAGAAAACACCAACAAAAUCUAUCAAAAAUGUAUGCAUAUUUGUAAUGUUUAAUUU